GGGAAUAUUGCACAAUGGGCGAAAGCCUGAUGCAGCAACGCCGCGUGAGUGAUGAAGGCCUUCGGGUUGUAAAGCUCUGUCUUCUGGGACGAUAAUGACGGUACCAGAGGAGGAAGCCACGGCUAACUACGUGCCAGCAGCCGCGGUAAUACGUAGGUGGCAAGCGUUGUCCGGAUUUACUGGGCGUAAAGGAUGCGUAGGCGGAUACUUAAGUCAGAUGUGAAAAUCCCGGGCUUAACUUGGGAACUGCAUUUGAAACUGGGUAUCUAGAGUGCGGGAGAGGAAAGUGGAAUUCCUAGUGUAGCGGUGAAAUGCGUAGAGAUUAGGAAGAACACCAGUGGCGAAGGCGACUUUCUGGACCGUAACUGACGCUGAGGCAUGAAAGCGUGGGGAGCAAACA
RNAcentral lists this ribosomal RNA (400 nucleotides) under uncultured bacterium. RNAcentral's name for it is "bacterial SSU rRNA". It matches the Rfam family "Bacterial small subunit ribosomal RNA", at positions 357 to 774 of the family's 1533-position model. The record is from RNAcentral.